RNAcentral lists this long non-coding RNA (200 nucleotides) under Elaeis guineensis (African oil palm). RNAcentral's name for it is "long non-coding RNA (EGUI_LNC051039)". The record is from RNAcentral. Lineage: Eukaryota; Viridiplantae; Streptophyta; Magnoliopsida; Arecales; Arecaceae.
GUAUGUUUCUCAGAUAAACAUCAUGUAGUUUCCUUAUGUGUGAUUUCAGCUUUGAUAGCUAGUAAGCUACUCAAAAAGAGGUGUGAAGCCUAUCUAGCAUGUGUGGUUAAUACAAAAGUAAGCAAGUAGGAUUUAGCAGACAUCCCAGUGGUUUGUAAAUUUUCAGAUAUCUUUUUAGGAGAACUCCCAGGGCUACCACC